This 312-nucleotide ribosomal RNA is filed under the name uncultured bacterium. RNAcentral describes it as "bacterial SSU rRNA". It matches the Rfam family "Bacterial small subunit ribosomal RNA", at positions 165 to 507 of the family's 1533-position model. The record is from RNAcentral.
AAUACCGCAUACGCCCUACGGGGGAAAGGCUUCGGCCGCUAUUGGAUGAGCCCGCGUCGGAUUAGCUAGUUGGUGAGGUAAUGGGCUCACCCAAGGCGACGAUCCGUAGCUGGUCUGAGAGGACGAUCAGCCACACUGGGACUGAGACACGGCCCAGACUCCUACGGGAGGCAGCAGUGGGGAAUAUUGCACAAUGGGCGAAAGCCUGAUGCAGCAAUGCCGCGUGUGUGAAGAAGGCCUGCGGGUUGUAAAGCACUUUCGGUAGGGAAGAUAAUGACGGUACCUACAGAAGAAGCACCGGCUAACUCCGUG